CAUUCCAAGAGCCUGAGGGACAGCUGGCUCGUUGGCUGGAGGAGCUGCAAGGCUACGAGUUCAGCGUGGUUCACCGUGCUGGAGAACGGCAUGGCAACGCUGACGCACUGUCCCGUCGACCCUGCAGUGAAGACGACUGCCGGUAUUGUGACCGCAGAAAGGUCAGAGAACAGCAGCUGGUUCUGGGGCCAAACAAGCAGGACAGAGAGGAGUGUGAAGACUGUCGGGGCUUGUAGAGAGCUGCUGGUGGUGGACAAUGCUAUCUGGGCCGCGGAACAGCAACAAGACCCGGUCGUGCAGCCAGUGAUGCUGUGGGUGGAGGCGCGGCAGCGGCCGCCCUGCGAGGAGGUGGCCGCUCUCUCCCCAUGGACAAAAGGGCUGUGGGCUAAAUCUAAUUCUUUGCAGCUGGCUGAUGGGGUCCUUCAGCGGGCAUGGUUGGAACCAGGGUCGGGAGAGAAAAAGAUGCAUUGGAUGUGGAAAGAGAGGAGAACUGCGGGGAAUAUACAGUGACCCACCUCACCCCGGUUUCUGCAGCCAAAUUUGCGCAUGGGAUGCAGAAUAAUCGGUUUUGGAAAACAAAAUAUUUAUAAUAAUAUUCAAAAUAUUUGAUACAGUUGAGACAAGAAUCGUUUCUUUGUUUUACACACAGACA
Molecule: long non-coding RNA, 652 nt
Organism: Gasterosteus aculeatus aculeatus (three-spined stickleback)
Lineage: Eukaryota; Metazoa; Chordata; Actinopteri; Perciformes; Gasterosteidae
Source: Ensembl